UACCCUACGGGAGGCAGCAGUGGGGAAUAUUGGACAAUGGGGGGAACCCUGAUCCAGCGACGCCGCGUGAGUGAAGAAGUAUUUCGGUAUGUAAAGCUCUAUCAGCAGGGAAGAAAGAAAUGACGGUACCUGACUAAGAAGCCCCGGCUAACUACGUGCCAGCAGCCGCGGUAAUACGUAGGGAGCAAGCGUUGUCCGGAAUUACUGGGCGUAAAGGGCGCGUAGGUGGGCGCUUAAGUCAGGUGUGAAAACUCCGGGCUCAACCUGGAGACUGCACUUGAAACUGGGUGUCUUGAGGGCAGGAG
This 305-nucleotide ribosomal RNA is filed under the name uncultured bacterium. RNAcentral describes it as "bacterial SSU rRNA". It matches the Rfam family "Bacterial small subunit ribosomal RNA", at positions 334 to 654 of the family's 1533-position model. The record is from RNAcentral.